RNAcentral lists this ribosomal RNA (270 nucleotides) under Ablepharus bivittatus (Twin-striped skink). RNAcentral's name for it is "partial small subunit ribosomal RNA". It matches the Rfam family "Bacterial small subunit ribosomal RNA", at positions 870 to 1259 of the family's 1533-position model. The record is from RNAcentral. Lineage: Eukaryota; Metazoa; Chordata; Lepidosauria; Squamata; Scincidae.
CGCCAGAGAACUACAAGCGAAAAACUUAAAACUCCAAGGACUUGGCGGUGCCCUACACCAGCCUAGAGGAGCCUGUCCUAUAAUCGAUACUCCACGCUUAACCUUACCCCCCCUUGUAAACCCAGCCUAUAUACCGCCGUCACCAGCCCACCUUCUGAAAGAGACUAAGUGGGCAUAAUAAUUAAUAAUUAACACGUCAGGUCAAGGUGUAGCACACGGGGGGGCAAAGAUGGGCUACUUUUCCUUAAACAGGAAAUCACGCACGGCAUG